RNAcentral lists this ribosomal RNA (683 nucleotides) under Cephalenchus driekieae. RNAcentral's name for it is "partial large subunit ribosomal RNA". It matches the Rfam family "Eukaryotic large subunit ribosomal RNA", at positions 379 to 904 of the family's 3401-position model. Lineage: Eukaryota; Metazoa; Nematoda; Chromadorea; Rhabditida; Tylenchidae. The record is from RNAcentral.
AAGAGAGAGUUAAAGAGGACGUGAAACCGAUGAGGUGGAAACGGAUAGAGCCGGCGAAUCUGACUUGUAUUCAGCUUUCGGUGAGUGUCCGCUGGUUUGCUCAAUCCUGCUUCUGGUUGGCCGGGCUAGUGUGAGGCAUUUUCCGUUGGUGCAUUUGCGAGUGGAGUGCGUUGAGAUUCACGGUCGUAGCGAUUCGACGUUUGCAUUGAGGCCACCUUUAUUGUGUGGAACCUGUGCUUUCUUAGGAUUGUUUACACUGUGCUAAAUACGACUAUGGCCUACGUGAUAUGUGGUUGAUUCUGUGGUGUUUUGAGGCGGUCGCAUGCGACACGUGCUUAGCACUGCUUGUUCAAUUACCGUUCACACUUAGUCAUUCUCGAUGUAAAAGCUGGUCAUCUAUCCGACCCGUCUUGAAACACGGACCAAGGAGUUUAGCGUGUGCGCRAGUCAUUGGGCGAAAAACCCAUAGGCGUAAUGAAAGUAAAGGGCACUUGUUGUCUGAUAUGCGAUCUUGUGUAUUUCGAUACAUGGGAGCAGCAUAGCCCCGUCCCGAUUGCUUGCAAUGGGGCGGAGGUAGAGCGUAUUCGCUGAGACCCGAAAGAUGGUGAACUAUUCCUGAGCAGGAUGAAGCCAGAGGAAACUCUGGUGGAAGUCCGAAGCGGUUCUGACGUGCAAAUCGAUCG